This 767-nucleotide ribosomal RNA is filed under the name uncultured Bacilli bacterium. Its description in RNAcentral is "bacterial SSU rRNA". It matches the Rfam family "Bacterial small subunit ribosomal RNA", at positions 28 to 767 of the family's 1533-position model. Lineage: Bacteria; Bacillati; Bacillota; Bacilli. The record is from RNAcentral.
GACGAACGCUGGCGGCGUGCCUAAUACAUGCAAGUCGAACGCUUCUUUUUCCACCGGAGCUUGCUCCACCGGAAAAAGAGGAGUGGCGAACGGGUGAGUAACACGUGGGUAACCUGCCCAUCAGAAGGGGAUAACACUUGGAAACAGGUGCUAAUACCGUAUAACAAUCAAAACCGCAUGGUUUUGAUUUGAAAGGCGCUUUCGGGUGUCGCUGAUGGAUGGACCCGCGGUGCAUUAGCUAGUUGGUGAGGUAACGGCUCACCAAGGCCACGAUGCAUAGCCGACCUGAGAGGGUGAUCGGCCACAUUGGGACUGAGACACGGCCCAAACUCCUACGGGAGGCAGCAGUAGGGAAUCUUCGGCAAUGGACGAAAGUCUGACCGAGCAACGCCGCGUGAGUGAAGAAGGUUUUCGGAUCGUAAAACUCUGUUGUUAGAGAAGAACAAGGAUGAGAGUAACUGUUCAUCCCUUGACGGUAUCUAACCAGAAAGCCACGGCUAACUACGUGCCAGCAGCCGCGGUAAUGCGUAGGUGGCAAGCGUUGUCCGGAUUUAUUGGGCGUAAAGCGAGCGCAGGCGGUUUCUUAAGUCUGAUGUGAAAGCCCCCGGCUCAACCGGGGAGGGUCAUUGGAAACUGGGAGACUUGAGUGCAGAAGAGGAGAGUGGAAUUCCAUGUGUAGCGGUGAAAUGCGUAGAUAUAUGGAGGAACACCAGUGGCGAAGGCGGCUCUCUGGUCUGUAACUGACGCUGAGGCUCGAAGCGUGGGGA